RNAcentral lists this ribosomal RNA (469 nucleotides) under uncultured bacterium. Its description in RNAcentral is "bacterial SSU rRNA". It matches the Rfam family "Bacterial small subunit ribosomal RNA", at positions 355 to 822 of the family's 1533-position model. The record is from RNAcentral.
UGGGGAAUAUUGGACAAUGGGCGAAAGCCUGAUCCAGCCAUGCCGCGUGUGUGAAGAAGGUCUUCGGAUUGUAAAGCACUUUAAGUUGGGAGGAAGGGCAUUUACCUAAUACGUAAGUGUUUUGACGUUACCGACAGAAUAAGCACCGGCUAACUCUGUGCCAGCAGCCGCGGUAAUACAGAGGGUGCAAGCGUUAAUCGGAAUUACUGGGCGUAAAGCGCGCGUAGGUGGUUUGUUAAGUUGGAUGUGAAAUCCCCGGGCUCAACCUGGGAACUGCAUUCAAAACUGACAAGCUAGAGUAUGGUAGAGGGUGGUGGAAUUUCCUGUGUAGCGGUGAAAUGCGUAGAUAUAGGAAGGAACACCAGUGGCGAAGGCGACCACCUGGACUGAUACUGACACUGAGGUGCGAAAGCGUGGGGAGCAAACAGGAUUAGAUACCCGAGUAGUCCCUGAGCGGGCUGGCAAGGCG